Molecule: ribosomal RNA, 425 nt
Filed under: uncultured bacterium
Lineage: Bacteria
Description: bacterial SSU rRNA
Rfam family: Bacterial small subunit ribosomal RNA
Source: RNAcentral
GUUAGGAAUAUUGGACAAUGGGCGCAAGUCUGAUCCAGCCAUGCCGCGUGAGUGAUGAAGGCCUUCGGGUUGUAAAGCUCUUUAGCCGAUGAUUAUAAUGACUGUAGUCGGAAAAUAAGCCCCGGCUAACUUCGUGCCAGCAGCCGCGGUAAUACGAAGGGGGCGAGCGUUAUUCGGAAUCACUGGGCGUAAAGCGUGCGUAGGCGGCUUUGCAAGUUGGGAGUGAAAGCCCAGGGCUCAACCCUGGAAUUGCUCUCAAAACUGCAAGGCUCGAAUUCGGGAGAGGAUAGCGGAAUUGUCAGUGUAGCAGUGAAAUGCGUAGAUAUUGACAGGAACACCAGUGGCGUAAGCGGCUAUCUGGACCGAUAUUGACGCUGAGGCACGAAAGCGUGGGGAUCAAACAGGAUUAGAAACCCUUGUAGUCC